Molecule: ribosomal RNA, 268 nt
Filed under: uncultured soil bacterium
Lineage: Bacteria
Description: partial 16S ribosomal RNA
Rfam family: Bacterial small subunit ribosomal RNA
Source: RNAcentral
AGAAUGAACGCUGGCGGCGUGCUUAACACAUGCAAGUCGAGCGAGGCCAGGGGGCAACUCCCUGAGUCGAGCGGCGGACGGGUGAGUAACACGUGGGUAACCUACCCGGAAGUGGGGAAUACCUCGGGGAAACUCGAGCUAAUACCGCAUAACAUUUCGAGGACGAAAGUUCUUGUGAUCAAAGCGGGGCCGCAAGGCCUCGUGCUACCGGAUGGGCCCGCGCCCGAUUAGCUAGUUGGCGAGGUAAUGGCUCACCAAGGCGACGAUC